RNAcentral lists this ribosomal RNA (497 nucleotides) under uncultured bacterium. Its description in RNAcentral is "partial 16S ribosomal RNA". It matches the Rfam family "Bacterial small subunit ribosomal RNA", at positions 28 to 507 of the family's 1533-position model. The record is from RNAcentral.
GAUGAACGCUGGCGGCGUGCCUAAUGCAUGCAAGUCGAGCGAACAGACGAGGAGCUUGCUGCUCUGACGUUUGCGGCGGACGGGUGAGUAACACGUGGAUAAACUGCCUAUAAGUCUGGGCUCACUUCGGGAAACCGGAGCUAAUACCGGAUAAUAUAUUGAACCGUAUGGUUUAAUAGUGAAAGACGGGUUUGCUCUCACUUAUAGAUGGAUCCGCGCCGCAUUUGUUAGUUGGUAAGGUAACGGCUUACCCAGGCAACGAUGCGUAGCCGACCUGAGAGGGUGAUCGGCCACACUGGAACUGAGACACGGUCCAGACUCCUACGGGAGGCAGCAGUAGGGAAUCUUCCGCAAUGGGCGAAAGCCUGACGGAGCAACGCCGCGUGAGUGAUGAAGGUCUUCGGAUCGUAAAACUCUGUUAUUAGGGAAGAACAAAUGUGUAAGUAACUAUGCACGUCUUGACGGUACCUAAUCAGAAAGCCACGGCUAACUACGUG